GGUGCGGUGGCGGAGCGGUUGAACGCGCCGGACUUGAAAUCCGGUAUGGCCUUCGGGUCAUCGGGGGUUCGAAUCCCUCCCGCACCG
This 87-nucleotide transfer RNA is filed under the name Phycisphaerales bacterium. Its description in RNAcentral is "tRNA-Ser". It matches the Rfam family "tRNA". Rfam says of the family: Transfer RNA (tRNA) molecules are approximately 80 nucleotides in length. Their secondary structure includes four short double-helical elements and three loops (D, anti-codon, and T loops). Lineage: Bacteria; Pseudomonadati; Planctomycetota; Phycisphaerae; Phycisphaerales. The record is from RNAcentral.